This 1101-nucleotide ribosomal RNA is filed under the name Triticum aestivum (bread wheat). RNAcentral's name for it is "partial small subunit ribosomal RNA". The record is from RNAcentral. Lineage: Eukaryota; Viridiplantae; Streptophyta; Magnoliopsida; Poales; Poaceae.
AUGUCGCAGGAACAAGAUUGGUCGUCUCUCCCGGUGGACCUGCUUAUCCUGAUCCUCAACCGUCUCCGGUGGUCAAGCCACCCGAGUUUCGCCUUGGUGUGCCGACAAUGGCGCUCCGCCGUGUCGCCCUUCUACCCGGCGUGGAUCACCCCGCUCCUGCUAAACACCACCGACGUUGGAACCACCAACAUCCGCUACUACAGUCCCUACUUCCAGAAAAACUUCGAGAUUGACGACACGCUAGAGGCGCCUGGCGCCAAGAUCUGUUGCGCCAGCGGAAGGUACGUGACACUAUGCAUGCCAAAGCAGAUACUCAAUGUUGACCUUUUGAGCUACGACAACGACUAUCUGCCACUGAUAUCUCAGUUCCGGUUUGAGCAUAUCGUCUACGACGGUAUGCGCAAGAUGGUUGGCAUUGACACGGUUUGCCUGCAAGAGAUUGGUUGUUGCAUGCAAAACAGCGACGAGGUGUGGGAACGUUGGGCAUACUGCUACCCUGACAGGACAAAGUUUACGGCGUCACCAGUGUCCAACCCUGUGUUCCACCGCAGCUUCAUCUAUCUACUACUCGAAGACGGAAGAUUAGCCGUAUGCGACGAGUGCAAACACGAAGAAGGAUUUGAAAUUCUUGACAAGCCCCAAAGUUUCGGGUUUGUAUACGAAGACAGCUACUUGGUUGAGUCCGACCAGGUUGAGCUGAUGGUCGUCCUCAUCGGCCGACGCGGGUCGCCUGUCAACAUUUUCAAGCUCAAUGAACACACGAUGGAGUGGGAGAAAAUGGAGAGCCUAGAUGGCAGGGCUUUGUUUACAGGUACACUCACGACUGUAAUGAAGAAGACUGCCAUUAAGUCCAUGCAAAAUAAGGUCUUCCUCCCAAGACUCUACGAUUGGCCUGACAUCGUUUAUGCUGACUUUGUUCUGCGCGACGGUGAAUUUGCCUUCGUAGAGUCACGGCGUGUUGAUAACAAAAUGAAGGUUGGCAAUGGCGCAUAUAGCACAAACAUGUGGUCUUACGAAUUGGGACAACGCGAAAAUCCAAGGGACUUUUGGGAGACAGAGAGAAUGGAUUACAGUAUUUGGGUCGAUUUUAGCAAUAGUUAA